This 253-nucleotide ribosomal RNA is filed under the name uncultured bacterium. RNAcentral describes it as "partial 16S ribosomal RNA". It matches the Rfam family "Bacterial small subunit ribosomal RNA", at positions 524 to 776 of the family's 1533-position model. The record is from RNAcentral.
UACGUGGGGUGCGAGCGUUAAUCGGAAUUACUGGGCGUAAAGUGUGCGCAGGCGGCCGCGCAAGUCGAGUGUGAAAGCCCCGGGCUUAACUUGGGAAUUGCGCUCGAAACUACGUGGCUGGAGUGUGGCAGAGGAAGGUGGAAUUCCACGUGUAGCGGUGAAAUGCGCAGAUAUCAGGAGGAACACCGGUGGCGAAGGCGGUGGUCUGGGCCGGCACUGACGCUGAGGAGCGAAAGCGUGGGGAGCGAACAGG